This 497-nucleotide ribosomal RNA is filed under the name uncultured bacterium. Its description in RNAcentral is "partial 16S ribosomal RNA". It matches the Rfam family "Bacterial small subunit ribosomal RNA", at positions 28 to 507 of the family's 1533-position model. The record is from RNAcentral.
GAUGAACGCUGGCGGCGUGCCUAAUACAUGCAAGUCGAGCGAACAGACGAGGAGCUUGCUCCUCUGACGUUAGCGGCGGACGGGUGAGUAACACGUGGAUAACCUACCUAUAAGACUGGGAUAACUUCGGGAAACCGGAGCUAAUACCGGAUAAUAUAUUGAACCGCAUGGUUCAAUAGUGAAAGACGGUUUUGUUGUCACUUAUCGAUGGAUCCGCGCCGCAUUAGCUAGUUGGUAAGGUAACGGCUUACCAAGGCAACGAUGCGUAGCCGACCUGAGAGGGUGAUCGGCCACACUGGAACUGAGACACGGUCCAGACUCCUACGGGAGGCAGCAGUAGGGAAUCUUCCGCAAAGGGCGAAAGCCUGACGGAGCAACGCCGCGUGAGUGAUGAAGGUCUUCGGAUCGUAAAACUCUGUUAUUAGGGAAGAACAAAUGUGUAAGUAACUAUGCACGUCUUGACGGUACCUAAUCAGAAAGCCACGGCUAACUACGUG